RNAcentral lists this ribosomal RNA (253 nucleotides) under uncultured bacterium. Its description in RNAcentral is "partial 16S ribosomal RNA". It matches the Rfam family "Bacterial small subunit ribosomal RNA", at positions 524 to 776 of the family's 1533-position model. The record is from RNAcentral.
UACGUAGGGUACGAGCGUUGUCCGGAAUUAUUGGGCGUAAAGAGCUCGUAGGUGGUUGGUCACGUCUGCUGUGGAAACGCAACGCUUAACGUUGCGCGUGCAGUGGGUACGGGCUGACUAGAGUGCAGUAGGGGAGUCUGGAAUUCCUGGUGUAGCGGUGAAAUGCGCAGAUAUCAGGAGGAACACCGGUGGCGAAGGCGGCGCUCUGGCCUGUAACUGACGCUGAGGCGCGAAAGCGUGGGGAGCAAACAGG